UAGGGAAUCUUCCACAAUGGACGAAAGUCUGAUGGAGCAACGCCGCGUGAGUGAUGAAGGGUUUCGGCUCGUAAAACUCUGUUGUUGGAGAAGAACAGGUGAUAGAGUAACUGUUAUCAUCUUGACGGUAUCCAACCAGAAAGCCACGGCUAACUACGUGCCAGCAGCCGCGGUAAUACGUAGGUGGCAAGCGUUGUCCGGAUUUAUUGGGCGUAAAGCGAGCGCAGGCGGUUUUUUAGGUCUGAUGUGAAAGCCUUCGGCUUAACCGGAGAAGGGCAUCGGAAACCGGGAGACUUGAGUGCAGAAGAGGACAGUGGAACUCCAUGUGUAGCGGUGAAAUGCGUAGAUAUAUGGAAGAACACCAGUGGCGAAGGCGGCUGUCUGGUCUGUAACUGACGCUGAGGCUCGAAAGCAUGGGUAGCGAACAGGAUUAGAUACCCUGGUAGUCCAUGCCGUAAACGAUGAGUGCUAAGUGUUGGAGGGUUUUCCGCCCUUCAGUGCUGCAGCUAACGCAUUAAGCACUCCGCCU
RNAcentral lists this ribosomal RNA (529 nucleotides) under uncultured bacterium. RNAcentral describes it as "partial 16S ribosomal RNA". It matches the Rfam family "Bacterial small subunit ribosomal RNA", at positions 355 to 874 of the family's 1533-position model. The record is from RNAcentral.